GACGAACGCUGGCGGCGUGCUUAACACAUGCAAGUCGAACGGAAAGGCCCUGCUUUUGUGGGGUGCUCGAGUGGCGAACGGGUGAGUAACACGUGAGUAACCUGCCCUUGACUUUGGGAUAACUUCAGGAAACUGGGGCUAAUACCGGAUAGGAGCUCCUGCUGCAUGGUGGGGGUUGGAAAGUUUCGGCGGUUGGGGAUGGACUCGCGGCUUAUCAGCUUGUUGGUGGGGUAGUGGCUUACCAAGGCUUUGACGGGUAGCCGGCCUGAGAGGGUGACCGGCAACAGUGGGACUGAGAUACGGCCCAGACUCCUACGGGAGGCAGCAGUGGGGAAGAUUGCACAAUGGGCGGAAGCCGGAUGCAGCAACGCCGCGUGCGGGAUGAUGGCCUUCGGGUUGUAAACCGCUUUCGCCUGUGACGAAGCGUGAGUGACGGUAAUGGGUAAAGAAGCACCGGCUAACUACGUG
Molecule: ribosomal RNA, 468 nt
Filed under: uncultured bacterium
Lineage: Bacteria
Description: partial 16S ribosomal RNA
Rfam family: Bacterial small subunit ribosomal RNA
Source: RNAcentral